RNAcentral lists this ribosomal RNA (382 nucleotides) under Micromonas sp. RNAcentral's name for it is "partial small subunit ribosomal RNA". It matches the Rfam family "Eukaryotic small subunit ribosomal RNA", at positions 582 to 975 of the family's 1831-position model. Lineage: Eukaryota; Viridiplantae; Chlorophyta; Mamiellophyceae; Mamiellales; Mamiellaceae. The record is from RNAcentral.
AUUCCAGCUCCAAUAGCGUAUAUUUAAGUUGUUGCAGUUAAAAAGCUCGUAGUUGGAUUUCGGUUGAGAACGGCCGGUCCGCCGUUUGGUGUGCACUGGCUGGUUUCAACUUCCUGUAGAGGACGCGCUCUGGCUUCAUCGCUGGACGCGGAGUCUACGUGGUUACUUUGAAAAAAUUAGAGUGUUCAAAGCGGGCUUACGCUUGAAUAUUUCAGCAUGGAAUAACACUAUAGGACUCCUGUCCUAUUUCGUUGGUCUCGGGACGGGAGUAAUGAUUAAGAGGAACAGUUGGGUGCAUUCGUAUUUCAUUGUCAGAGGUGAAAUUCUUGGAUUUAUGAAAGACGAACUUCUGCGAAAGCAUUUGCCAAGGAUGUUUUCAUUG